RNAcentral lists this non-coding RNA (698 nucleotides) under Neoscona theis. Lineage: Eukaryota; Metazoa; Arthropoda; Arachnida; Araneae; Araneidae. The record is from RNAcentral.
UUAAGCUCAGUACAGCUUUUAAAUAUAUAGAUUUAAUUUAAAAUUCACAUAUCUAUUAUUGAAAUUAAAAACAUACAACAACAUUAAUCAUGAUAAAAGUUGUAAAUCAAUUCAUUAACUAAAUAUAGUGCCAGCAGUUGCGGUUAGACUAUAAAUGAACUUAUAUAAUUAUUUUCUUUCAGGUAAUAUUUUUUUAAAAAAUUAAAUAUUAAGUAAAAUUUUAUUUUAUUUUUAAACUAAUCUUUUAUAUAGAAAAAAUUAAAAACUUAAAACAGGAUUAGAUACCCUUUUAUAUUUUAUUAAAUUUUGGUAGUAAUAACUUAAUUAAAAACCAAUGUAGUUUGGCGGCAUUUAUUCACAUUAGAGGAACCUGUCUUUUAAUCGAUUCCCCGCGAUAUUUUUCACUUUUAUUUAUAUUUUAUAUACCUCCAUCUAAAGGAUUAAUAUUUAUAUUUUCUUCAAAAUAGAUCUCCUAAUAAGUUAGGUAAAGGUGUAAACUAUAUAAAAGAUAAGAUGGGUUACUUUAAAAUUUAUUUAAGGAUAAUUAAUUAAAAUUAUUUUUGAAAAGGGAUUUAUAAGUAAUUUUUAAAUAAUACUUUUAAAUGAAUUUGAUAAACAAUGUGCACAUAUCGCCCGUCACCCUUAUCUAAAGGUAAGGUAAGUCGUAACAUAGUUGGUGUUUUGGAAAAAGCAUCAAG